UAUUCCAAUAGAGUAGGUCCUGAAAUAUU
This 29-nucleotide small RNA is filed under the name Bombyx mori (domestic silkworm). Its description in RNAcentral is "ovarian small RNA-24148". The record is from RNAcentral. Lineage: Eukaryota; Metazoa; Arthropoda; Insecta; Lepidoptera; Bombycidae.